Molecule: ribosomal RNA, 439 nt
Filed under: uncultured bacterium
Lineage: Bacteria
Description: partial 16S ribosomal RNA
Rfam family: Bacterial small subunit ribosomal RNA
Source: RNAcentral
CUACGGGACGCUCCAGUGAGGAAUAUUGCACAAUGGGGGGAACCCUGAUGCAGCAACGCCGCGUGGAGGAUGACGCAUUUCGGUGUGUAAACUCCUUUUAUAUGUCAAGAAAAUGACGGUAGCAUAUGAAUAAGCACCGGCUAACUCCGUGCCAGCAGCCGCGGUAAUACGGAGGGUGCAAGCGUUACUCGGAAUCACUGGGCGUAAAGAGCGUGUAGGCGGUUUGGAAAGUCAGGUGUGAAAUCCUACAGCUUAACUGUAGAACUGCACUUGAAACUUCUAAUCUAGAGUAUGGGAGGGGGAGAUGGAAUUAGUGGUGUAGGGGUAAAAUCCGUAGAUAUCACUAGGAAUACCUAAAGCGAAGGCGAUCUCCUGGAACAUUACUGACGCUAAGGCGUGAAAGCGUGGGGAGCAAACAGGAUUAGAUACCCCGGUAGUC